GCUCCUCCCUGCCCAGCCCGCAAAUGGUGGUGCUGCUACUGUACUUAUGGGGCUCGGUUCAGGUCAGAGUGCACAUCCAUAGCUGCAUUCCAGCCCACUACUUGAAGACCAGGGAUGCGUGAUGUGCCCAGGCCUGAAUGCUAACAGAGACCCCCACAUCCCACUCCACAGUGGAAAAGCAGCAAAUAGGUGGAGCAGAGGCAAAGUCAAUCAGAUAGCCCAGUGGCCUGUCACUACUGUGAGAUGCCCAGUCAGAGGCUGGAAUCUGUUGGGGCUGCUGUAACGCUAGAUUUCCUGUAUCAAGCAGGAGGUUGGACCAGAUGGCCUCCAGCUGUAUGAUUCUACUAAUCUACUUGCAUUCAGAAAUCAUUGCAGAGGUGAACUUGACUCCUGCUCAAUCAACAGGAACCGAAGCACCAUGCAAAAUGUGCUGGGUACCAAAAGCAAUAGCAGCAAUGAAAAACUGAAGUGUUUAUCAGUUUCAAGAACACUCAAGAUUGUGCAGAACAAUUCCAUAGUUCAGCAACUUAUCUGCUUCUCUGAUAUACAACAUUUAAGUAUUGCCCUAAGCCAUUUAACGUGCAGAUAUGGGGACCAGGGUAGCCUAAAGUAAUGAUCUGAAACUUUGGUGAUACUAUUCUAUUGCCUUCAGACCGAUUUCCCAUAAGAAAUAAACUUUCCCAAUGAAUUUUCCCCCAUUCACUUGGUUCAAGCACUGUUAUCUUUUAACAUUUUAUGAAACAGAUUGACUUUUUGUAGGUUUGCCCUUGAACUGAAAAGUUGAGUCUUUCAAAAGUAUUUUAACAGUAUUCAGGAUUAUGGCUCUGGCCCUCUUAGCUGCAUGUAUGCAUCCUCAGGCAUAAAAAUCUAGAUAUGCUGAAUGUGUAGCUCUUGCCCUUCUAACAUUGGCACUGAUGUCAUGAAAUUCUCACAAACAUUUUAAUUCCUGAAGCGAAGGCUCAUGUUGACAAAUCAUAGAAGUGUCUCCUUUCCCCAGUCAUUCCACCUGGUAAUUAUGUAAAAAUUUUGUGAGGUUGGAUGCUUGUGAAUUUGCUUAUUUUCUUUUUCUCUUCAUGCUCCUUUUUCUUUUGUAUUCUGUCUAUUAUUUAUUUAUUUAUCUCUCAAACUUCUAUACCACCCAAACUUUUGUCUAUUACACUAUAAGCCAUUAUUUUCAUAAAGCACCUUGAGUUCAUUGCAAGAAAGGAUGUAUAUUUUCCAAAUAAGUCAAUAAAACUCUACUUACGUAUUA
Hemicordylus capensis (graceful crag lizard) is the source of this 1252-nucleotide long non-coding RNA. RefSeq lists it as uncharacterized. NCBI's taxonomy places the organism in Eukaryota, Metazoa, Chordata, Lepidosauria, Squamata, Cordylidae. The transcript is spliced from 4 exons. The record is from RefSeq and is a predicted model, not a curated record.